CUUAAAAAUGUCCUUUUUUUGUAAUGUUUCGAGCUGCAUUUAAAAACUCUCCAACCAUCGCACAUGCAAAGAAAAAGGUGAAGUGAAUCUCAAAUCAAACCAGGAUGUCUUGUCAACACUUGUAACACACUUGGUCAAUUUUUCAAAAUGCAAGCCUGCAAACGUUUUCUCUGUUUUGAUGUAGAUUUUCCUGAGGACAGUGAACGCUCAUAUGGAUAACAGCUGAGGAGAGUAUUCCAUCUCAGAAGGAAUCUUUUAAAACAAGGAAUUUGUUUCGCACUCAUCUGUAAUAGAGGUCAAACUUCAAGGUGCAUUACGGUGACAUUUGCAUGUUUAAAAUGUCAGUUUAAAGCACGCAAAGCACAACAACUUGCAGAUGAGAACUGCAAAUAUCUGCAGAAUACUCUUGCACAUAUUUAUAUUUAGUUUUAAUUUACAGGACGGUAAAGUGGACAGAGCAGAACAUGAGACAGGAGAGAGUGGGACAGUAGCUGCAAGCUUAACCUCGGGGUGCAUGCUCAGACAUCUAGUCCAUAUGCACCUUAAUCUUGUAUUACUAACACAUUUCUACAAAUUGCUCGUAAUCCAGGUCAGAACCUCCGUCAGGUUCUGGUUGCAGGAAACGGACUUCUUUAAAACUGCAGUUACAACCUUCAAAAAUUGAAUCUAAUCAAAUUUUGUGUCUUAUUUCUAUUAAACCAACAUCAUAUUUGACUCAAUGUAAGCCACGUUCACAUUACAGGUCCAGAAAAUGUGAUAUUUCAAUACAUAACACCAAAAACAAGACCGAGAUCGCUUGUAAUGGGUUAAAAAAAAUUGCCAAAACUUUACUUCUUAACACUCAACGUUUCUCUGGACUUUUCAGGUAAAUGAGGCAUAAGUUAAUCCCUGAAAAGACACGCUCAAGAAUUUAUAUGUUAACACUCACUAAGAUCUGAGUUUAGUGCAGUUUCCUAUGAGGCCUGUUUGUUUUCAUGACAUUUGAAAUAAAAACCAUGAAAGAGUGAGGUUUUGAUUGAGUUGAAUAACAGUAACGUCAAUAAAAAGUGAGAAAAUCUCAACCUUAAGGUACAGUUAUAUGAGAUUUAGCGCACUAUGAAAGUCCAAAUUCUGAAUCACAAGAUUUAUUAGUGAAAAAAAAGUUUAGACGUGCAAAACAAGUUUGUGGGUCACAUUUACGUCAUUGCAUUUGUGCGUCAUUGUGCGCAGAUAAAUAAGAUGGAAGUUCGAGUUUGGGAUUCCAGUCCAGAUGGGAGCUCAGGUCUCUGUGCGUAAACCAGUCCGGUCUCUGGUCCCAGGAGGACAGUCGCUGGCGUGCUCUGGUUUACCAGCGUCCCCUCCAGGGCUGAGAAUCAGCAGGCAGGAAUGUGCUGUGAGCGGGCCCAGUGACGCUAAUCCCGGGCAAAGUUGUUCUUUUUUCUUCUCUCCUCCUUCUCACAAGAUUUCCUUAAUCGGAUAAUCCACGUCUCAUUAAACCGGCCCAUCGUGGAUUCAGUCCGGCAGGGAAAGAAAUGCUGAAUCUGAGCUGGGUCAUCCAUGACAGAGGGACAACCACCGCUUCAGCGCCCUGAAUAGGGAGGUGGAUUUAUUCAUCAGGCUGUGGUGUCUUGGCAUGUUGCAUGAUGGUUCACGUGUGUGCGUGUGUUUGUGUGUUUUAGUGUGUUUCCGAAUAAGUGUAUAUGUUUGCAGGCUUGUGAUUGUACACUUGUGUGUGGGAAACCCAGGAAAUCCAGGCUCCCAUGCGCCAGCAUCCAUUGUGUUUAGCUUCCUCCUGUGUGCUAGUGUGUGUGUGUGUGUGUAGCUGCAGUGCUUCCCUCUCUCGUGGCUCUAAUGAGAAGCCGGAGGAAACCGGAGGAUUGCACUUGGCAAAGUAAACUGAAACACUCUGAUGAAUGGAUCAGGGGAGCUGUGUUUGCAGGAUUUACUUUGAUUAAGUCCACGCCGAAGUUCACCAUCAUCCAAGUUCACUCUUACUUUCUGUUCGCUCCUCCUUUUUUCCCUCCAUCAGAUCUGUGCCUGAGGAUCCUCUCUGCUGACAAUAGGACAGUGUGUCCAGAACAUCCACGACAAAGACUGCAGAUCAUAUCGUGAGUGGAAGAGCGACAACCUGAUGAACUCUCUUUGUGAUGGUGCGUCAUUGACUCCACUUGGCUCAGUUUCACUUUACGAUUAACUCCAAAGUCCCCAUGAGGGAAAAAUAAUCGUCACAGUGCAUUUUUCACAGAUGACUACAAGGACUGGAUGAGCUUCAAAUGAAAUGUUGAGCCGCCAGAAUGUAGGUCUUGCACCUCAGUCAGCUGACUCAUAAAGUUCCCUAAUUUGUCCCUAAAGGUGAUAGAAACCUGCCUCUGAUUGUCCUGUUUUUUCAGCAUUCCAACCACAAUCACCACCAAAUUCCACCACAUGUGGAAUGGCAGCAAAAAGGCUGUCGUUGAUCGCCGCUGAUUGUUUCCAUUCAAGUUAAUGUGUCAAAUUCCACCGGUUUCUUUCCAGCCCCCUGCGGUUCAGUGGGCUCGAUCGCCAGAGUUCUGUUUUUUCCGGACGCCGCAACAUGCCACAUCAAUUCAGCACAGAUUAGCCCAUGCUGGAAAGGAAGUCGGACACAGACACAAAAUUAAACAUCCAACAUGACGUGUUUCAGGCGGAUCGUAUUUCACACCAUGCAAACGUGGGUAUGGACGAACAAGUGAAAGGUUUUCAGACGUCAUUUCACCCUGUUGGCAAUAUGGAUGAUGAGAUGCUAAUUCUGGAAGUCCAAAAUCACGUAAUAAUCGAUGACCUGUCUCAUCCCUUAUAUAAGUACAAUCAUAAAAAGAAUAUGACAUGGGAUUCCAUAGCCAAUUGAUAUCGCGCAAUUGCAUGUGAAUUUGCAGAUUCUUGUGAGUCCUCAUGAUUCCCACUGUCUGAAAUUUGCCAUGAAAUUUGCCUCAUAAACGUAUCUGGUAGGAUUUGGCAGACAGUGAAAAUCGCUGCCAUUCUGCAUUCAGUGGAGUUUGUGGGUAAGGGUGCACAGGGUGGACUUAUGGUGCGUUUCAGUUACCAGAAGUCAGAAGUCGGAGCUGAAAAUGUCAUCACACCCUAGUGCCCAGCGUUUCAGAUACCAAGUUGGAAAAAAGCAAAAUCGGAGGCAGAAACAAGAUAGAUACAUCUACGAAAGUUAUUUAAGUGCUUGCCUUUGUUCAAAUAUAAGGCAAGCACUUCAGGCCUCCGAUUUUUCUUUUUUCCGACUUGGUAACUGACCUCUGAGGUAACUCAAACGCAGCAUUAGUGUCUUAUCCUCAUACAGUUUGUCUUGUUAGUAGCAGGUGCAGGGAAUCCAACUUGGGUCUUCGCACCAAAACCUCACUAACUCUCAUGCACACCUUCCUUCCCUCCACGAUAACACGAGCGUUGAAUCAGUCCUGCCGAUGAGACCAUCAUUUCCUGAAAGUUGCCCAAAACUGUUCACGAGUCUCCGGAUAAUCUUUUCCUGGAAAAACUGUCUGAUGUUCUUUAAUUUGUCUCAUUUUUAUCUGGUUCAAAGCACAGACUUUCAAAAUCAGGGCGAAUAAUCCCCAAACUCUCCGUGCGCAGGGCGGGAUGCCAGCAGCAAGGAGAGAACAGGAAAAUAAAGUCCUUGUGUAAUUUUAACGAUGGGAUGUCCCGUGUCUGUCUGCACAUGUCUGCAGUCUGUAGGUCAGAGCAUUGUUACCCAGACCUGUUUUCCACGGGUUUAUCUCAGGUCACUCUGUUUUGGAGGUUAUUAUGACAUUCUCUCUCUGUUUUAAGGUGUUUUCUCUCGGCUCGUCACAUUCCAUCUGCGUGGAUGUUCAGAAGAGACCAAACAUUCAGGAGCAGUAACACAAGGUUAGCGAGGGUCACCGCUGUUCUUACACAACAUGAAGUUCACUGACCCUGUGAGUAUCUGUGCAGCAAAACACAAGGUUGAAAACAGAGAAUAACACCGCCGCUGCAGCGGGGAAAUCCUUCAUGAAAAACAAUCCGGAUCCAGGAGUCUGUGUUCUUGGCUCUGGUCGGAGUCCUCGAAGAAGCUCAGAAGUGUUUCUGAAAUUCUUGGAAGAAUGUCUCAGCUCCGGACAAUCGUAGCACAUCUGAGAGCUUUAAUCCUUGCAUCUGGGUUAGAUUAGACGGAGAAUUCGGUGAAUCAGGUUGAAUCAUGUGUGCUCUCCUCUGCGGCUGACAUUGUGAUGGUUUUUGAAGACCUCAUGUGGAGAUGUGAACCUGUAACUGCCAAGAUUUUACAGAGGAGAACAUAACAAUAAAGGAGUGGGGAGCAGCUAACGGUCGAUGAUUGUGUUUACGGACGAUUUAAAGGACAGUUACAGAUGUUGUCAAAAAUAAUGUUUUUAGGACUUCUUGUUUUAAAGAAAUUGCAAAACUUGUCUAAAAUCUUGACAUUCAACUCUGAUUCUACGAUAGAUGGUUGAUGAAAACAGAAUAUGACAGUUCACACAUCUUAUGGAAAAUACACGCUCAUCGUAGAUUUGGUGCCAGCAGCGUUUUCUUUCAACAACCCGUGUAAAUUUUUAAGGAACCUUGGAGACUCAGAAGUGUUGUUUCAAUCUUUACUGCCAUGAUGCACUAAAUGUUUUCAAAGGGGGACAAGUCAGGACUGCAUCAGGCCAGUUCAGCAGCAGGACUCUUCUACCACAGAGCCAUGCUGUUGCAGUAAGCGGUUUGGGAUCAUAUGAAGGUCUUCUGGUCAAGAUGGCAGCAGAUAUUGCUCCUAAAUUUGUAGACAUUGUUCAAAACUGAGGGUGAAGCAUCUAUGUUUUCCAGUUCUUUGUUGAAAGGACAACUGGACUUACAUCUCAAGUAAGUCCAGUUGUCCUUUCCAACAAAGCGUUAGAUUUUGAUUCACCAGACCUCGGGACAGUUCAUGGACAAGUGAUAUGAAGCCAUGCAGUGACUCCAACUACAGAGUCUUAAUGCUACAAAACCUGAAGAUAUUGUUCCGGAUUAAUGGAGUCUUCACAGAUGACCUGAGGCCUCAUUUAUAAAGCUUGCUUACGCACAAAACCUGGCUAGAAAUUGCUUACGCCACUUCUUACGCAAGAGUUGGGAUUUAUAAAAGAAAAACUAGUGUAGGAAUGUGCGCAACUUUAAGCAAACUCCACACCUUGCUUACGCACUUUUUGGAGACAAUCGGAGCAAGGUGAGAAUAGUCCGGGUGAUGCGUUCAGCACAACGGAUGACUCGAUGCAGCCUUUCUGUCCUGCAAGCUGCAGCUGCCGUACCAGGCAGUGAUGCUCGCAGAAAGCAUAGACCCCACUGUGGCGGUGUAGAUAGUUUGCCAAUUUGAAUUUACAAAUGUGCAAAAAAACAAAUUCCAUUUACAUGCAUUUGUUUUAAGAUUAAUAUGACUAAAUCUUUUUGGUUUACGAACUUUCACCACAUAAGCAGCGGUGGAUAACGGAGCGGUUUUUUUUUUUAACACAUGCACGAGUGUCACACGUGCUUGUUUUUUCUGAUCCUCACCUGUCGCCGCCACGCUCUGAUGGUGUAAAGCCACUUUUUUCUUUGCCUCCACCUUUAGAUCGGACCACUUCUUCUUGAUUUCGGCACAGUUUUGUUUUCGUCAUCGUCGACGAAAACAAAACUCCACGUGUUUGCGCGCGCGUGCGUCUGUGUGUUGGAGGAGCACAGCAGGCUGAUGAGAGCUGUCAGAGCGGACAGAAGCUGCUCCUGUAUGUUUAGCGUUUAACUGACUGAGUUUUGCAACUCUGGUCGUCAUUUUCGUCUCGUCCCAUCAACGUAAACACACUUUCGUCUCGUCACAUUUUAGUCAUCUCCGACUUAUGUUUAGCUCGUCAACGUUACGUCUUCGUCGUGGAAGAAAAGGGAAAUAUUUCCGUCAACAAAAACAACCAGUGUUGUUCUCGUUGAUGAAAAUAUUUCGUUUUGACGCUGGUGUUGACGAAAAUAUUUGACGAAAUAUGACGAAAACAACACUGUUUCGGCAACGCUGCGCUCAGUGCCAGCCGCAAUUGCCACCACGGCAACGGCGUUUUUAUUGGUGAUGCCACUCGAAUGGCCGCCGAAUAAGGUCUCCCAUCUCGCCGCCACCUCAUUUACAAGAACCUCCACCUCGAUCUCUGAAAAGUUUCUUUUUCUACGACUUGCUGAUGCCAUGGUUAAGCGUGAAAUGCCGUGGAUCCACCAGGCUUAUUUACAUGCAAAUCACAUUCAUGAGGUAAUUUGCAUGACCAUACAUGGUGAAUUUUGGGUGUGGAGAGGGCGGGGAAGAAUCAAAUCCCUGCUGCGCAACUUUCCAGCUGGUCUGUGAUUUAUAAAGGGAAAGUGCGCGCAGGCGUGCGUAGGCAGGGUUUUAUAAAUCAGAUUUUUUUUUUGCCUACGCACUUUACAGCUUUUCAACUUACGUACACUUUUAGUAUGGAUCCUACGCCAGGUUUUAUAAAUGAGGCCCCAGGACUCUGAUGAUCCCGAACUAACACAGAUUCUGUUUAGCAUGUUAAAGGAAAGUUUCCCAGUUUUCAAGAGGUCCAGGAUCAUGUUGCUAUUUGGUUUCUUCUUUGUAUGGUACAGUUUUAACCCACGUUUGAGGACACAGCAACAAACUACAUACACUGGUGAUAGUUUUCCUUUAUUUUUGCACAUUCAAGUUUCAUGUCAUGUAUUUCCUGUUUAAUUUUGUAGUUCUCUAACUCUUGUUCCUUGUCAUCUAGAUUUGUUCCUGUCUGGUCUGCCCUCCCCCCGUUUUGUCACACCUGCUGCCUGAUUGUGUCUCCCCACCUGUUUCCCAUCACCCUCAUUACCUCUUGUAUUUAACCUUGUGUGUCUGCCUCACGUUUUUGGAAACCUCUGCCUGGUCUGACUGCCUUUUGUGUAACGAUCUCUCCCUGAGAUUUAAUAAACCCU
Xyrichtys novacula (pearly razorfish) is the source of this 6879-nucleotide non-coding RNA. Lineage: Eukaryota; Metazoa; Chordata; Actinopteri; Labriformes; Labridae. The record is from the annotation of a GenBank genome assembly.